GACUGGUGAAAUGUCUUCAAGACCAAAAAAAACACACAAAGCUGAUCUUAUGAAUCUUAUGAGAGUAGAGCUGGAGGCUCGGGGAGGUGCAGGGAUCUGCUGAAGUCUAAUUCCAGGAUGUUUGAAACAUGCUUAUUCACCGAGCUGUCUGCUGAGUUAACAUUUAGUUAUGGGAGAGUGUGAGCUGAAGCUGCUGAAAGACAUGAAGACCGUGUCACUUUGCAUUGCCUUCUGGCGUAUUACCUCCAGUAAGUGACUGUUUACUUAGCAGAGGAAAACAUAAAUAUUUGUACUCGUGUUAAAAAAAAAAUAGCCGUAACCCUUGUGGAAAAAAAAAUAUUUUAAGAAGCUUCAAAAUAUUGGUUUUCCCUUAGUGAUCUGGAUGGUUCUUGGGUCUCCUCCAGCUUCUGCAGGAAGCAUGUUUUUUCCUCCCUCUUUUAAAUACAGGGAGAUUCUUUCACAUUAAGUUCAUUUGUCUUUACUUCUACAAAGGAACCUUGGAACUACUGAAACAAAGAGAUCUUUCUUUUGUCAUGAACUCAUACUCUAACAGCAAUUUCUAACGCCACGUGUAUAUGUGCAUUUUAUAUGCUGCCAUUGUUCAAAUGUAAAAUCCGCCGUCAGUACGUAGAGAAUUGGUAUCAAGUGACUUCAGUUUGUCUUGUUGUGUGCAUUCAAGCAGUGUGAUUGGGGAAGGGUCAAUUCAUAAAACCCCUCUAACGUUGUGCCCAUCUAUCAACAACUAGUCACACUAGCCCACACAACUAGUCACGCUAGCACACACAACUAGUCACGCUAGCACACACAACUAGUCACACUAGCACACACAACUAGUCACUUUAGC
Long non-coding RNA from Xenopus laevis (African clawed frog), 844 nucleotides. RefSeq lists it as uncharacterized. The transcript has 3 exons. The record is from RefSeq and is a predicted model, not a curated record. NCBI's taxonomy places the organism in Eukaryota, Metazoa, Chordata, Amphibia, Anura, Pipidae.